Molecule: ribosomal RNA, 451 nt
Filed under: uncultured bacterium
Lineage: Bacteria
Description: bacterial SSU rRNA
Rfam family: Bacterial small subunit ribosomal RNA
Source: RNAcentral
GUGGGGAAUAUUGGACAAUGGGGGGAACCCUGAUCCAGCCAUGCCGCGUGUGUGAAGAAGGCCUUUUGGUUGUAAAGCACUUUAAGCGAGGAGGAGGCUACCGAGAUUAAUACUCUUGGAUAGUGGACGUUACUCGCAGAAUAAGCACAGGCUAACUCUGUGCCAGCAGCCGCGGUAAUACAGAGGGUGCAAGCGUUAAUCGGAUUUACUGGGCGUAAAGCGCGCGUAGGUGGCCAAUUAAGUCAAAUGUGAAAUCCCCGAGCUUAACUUGGGAAUUGCAUUCGAUACUGGUUGGCUAGAGUAUGGGAGAGGAUGGUAGAAUUCCAGGUGUAGCGGUGAAAUGCGUAGAGAUCUGGAGGAAUACCGAUGGCGAAGGCAGCCAUCUGGCCUAAUACUGACACUGAGGUGCGAAAGCAUGGGGAGCAAACAGGAUUAGAAACCCUAGUAGUCC